AUUGAACGCUGGCGGCAGGCCUAACACAUGCAAGUCGAACGAGUGGCGGACGGGUGAGAAAUGUCUGGGAAACUGCCUGAUGGAGGGGGAUAACUACUGGAAACGGUAGCUAAUACCGCAUACCAUCGGAUGUGCCCAGAUGGGAUUAGCUAGUGGUGGGGGUAAAGGCUCACCUAGGCGACGAACCCUAGCUGGUCUGAGAGGAUGACCAGCCAACCGGGAACUGAGACCCGGCCCAGACUCCUACGGGAGGCAGCAGUGGGGAAUAUUGCACAAUGGGCGAAAGCCUGAUGCAGCCAUGCCGGGUGUAUGAAGAAGGCCUUCGGGUUGUAAAGUACUUUCAGCGGGGAGGCGUUACCCGCAGAAGAAGCACCGGCUAACUCCGUGCCAGCAGCCGCGGUAAUUC
RNAcentral lists this ribosomal RNA (406 nucleotides) under uncultured bacterium. RNAcentral's name for it is "partial 16S ribosomal RNA". It matches the Rfam family "Bacterial small subunit ribosomal RNA", at positions 30 to 526 of the family's 1533-position model. The record is from RNAcentral.